RNAcentral lists this ribosomal RNA (433 nucleotides) under uncultured bacterium. RNAcentral's name for it is "partial 16S ribosomal RNA". It matches the Rfam family "Bacterial small subunit ribosomal RNA", at positions 29 to 507 of the family's 1533-position model. The record is from RNAcentral.
AGCGAACGCUGGCGGCAGGCCUAACACAUGCAAGUCGAACGAACUCUUCGGAGUUAGUGGCGGACGGGUGAGUAACACGUGGGAACGCGCCUUUAGGUUCGGAAUAACUCAGGGAAACUUGUGCUAAUACCGAAUGUGCCCUUCGGGGGAAAGAUUUAUCGCCUUUAGAGCGGCCCGCGUCUGAUUAGCUAGUUGGUGAGGUAAAGGCUCACCAAGGCGACGAUCAGUAGCUGGUCUGAGAGGAUGAUCAGCCACAUUGGGACUGAGACACGGCCCAAACUCCUACGGGAGGCAGCAGUGGGGAAUCUUGCGCAAUGGGCGAAAGCCUGACGCAGCCAUGCCGCGUGAAUGAUGAAGGUCUUAGGAUUGUAAAAUUCUUUCACCGGGGACGAUAAUGACGGUACCCGGAGAAGAAGCCCCGGCUAACUUCGUG